CCAAUAGCGUAUAUUAAAGUUGUUGCAGUUAAAAAGCUCGUAGUUGAAUUUCGGGGUUCUUCCGUUGGUCAGGCUAACAAGUCUGUACUAGCGUGUAGAAUCUCUACCUUCUGGGGAACCAUCAUGUUAUUAAUUUAGCGUGGUGGGAAACCAGGACCUUUACCUUGAAAAAAUUAGAGUGUUCAAAGCAGGCUUACGUCUGAAUACAUUAGCAUGGAAUAAUAAAAUAGGACGGUGGUCCUGUUUUGUUGGUUUCUGAAUCACCGUAAUGAUUAAUAGGGAUAGUUGGGGGCAUUAGUAUUCAAUUGUCAGAGGUGAAAUUCUUGGAUUUAUUGAAGACUAACUUCUGCGAAAGCAUUUGCCAAGGAUGUUUUCAUUAAUCAAGAACGAAAGUUAGGGGAUCGAAGACGAUCAGAUACCGUCGUAGUCUUAACCAUAAACUAUGCCGACUAGGGAUCGGACGAUGUUAAAUUUUAGUGACUCGUUCGGCGCCUUACG
RNAcentral lists this unclassified non-coding RNA (498 nucleotides) under uncultured Scutellospora. Its description in RNAcentral is "SSU rRNA". It matches the Rfam family "Eukaryotic small subunit ribosomal RNA", at positions 591 to 1092 of the family's 1831-position model. The record is from RNAcentral. Lineage: Eukaryota; Fungi; Glomeromycota; Glomeromycetes; Diversisporales; Gigasporaceae.